This 610-nucleotide ribosomal RNA is filed under the name uncultured bacterium. RNAcentral's name for it is "bacterial SSU rRNA". It matches the Rfam family "Bacterial small subunit ribosomal RNA", at positions 41 to 673 of the family's 1533-position model. The record is from RNAcentral.
GGUGUGCUUCACACAUGCAAGUCGAACGGAGUAGCAAUACUCCAGCUGGCGGACGGGUGAGUAACACGUGGGAAUCUACCAUUAGGUGGGGAAUAACAGGCCGAAAGGACUGCUAAUGCCGCAUAUGUAGGCAUCUCGACAGAGAUGUUUAUGAAAGGAGUAAUCCGCCUUUUGAUGAGCCCGCGUCCGAUUAGCUAGUUGGUAGGGUAAAAGCCUACCAAGGCGACGAUCGGUAGCCGGCCUGAGAGGGUGACCGGCCACACUGGGACUGAGAUACGGCCCAKACUCCUACGGGAGGCAGCAGUGGGGAAUAUUGCACAAUGGGCGCAAGCCUGAUGCAGCGACGCCGCGUGAGGGAUGACGGCCUUCGGGUUGUAAACCUCUUUCAGCACAGACGAAGCGCAAGUGACGGUAUGUGCAGAAGAAGGACCGGCCAACUACGUGCCAGCAGCCGCGGUAAUACGUAGGGUCCGAGCGUUGUCCGGAAUUACUGGGCGUAAAGAGCUCGUAGGUGGUUUGUCGCGUUGUUCGUGAAAACUCACAGCUUAACUGUGGGCGUGCGGGCGAUACGGGCAGACUUGAGUACUGCAGGGGAGACUGGAAUUCCUGG